GAUGAAGAACGUAGCGAAUUGCGAUAAGUAAUGUGAAUUGCAGAAUUCAGUGAAUCAUCGAAUCUUUGAACGCAUCUUGCGCUCUUUGGUAUUCCGAAGAGCAUGCCUGUUUGAGUGUCAUGAAACUCUCACCUCCAAUCUUUUUUAACUAGAAGGUUGGGGCGUGGACGUGAGUGCUGCUGGUGCCCUGGUUGCAUCGGCUCACUUGAAAUUCAUUAGCUGAAUCCUUUAAAGUAGGUUCUACUCGACGUGAUAAGAUCUCCUCGAGGACAGUGCUUCGGCAUUGGCCAUCGAUAAAGUUGAUACGCUUCUAAUUAGCGCAGACUUCGAGUGCUGGCAAUUUUGACAACUUGGCCUCAAAUCAGGUAGGACUACCCACUGAACUUAAGCAUAUCAAUAAGCGGAGGA
Molecule: unclassified non-coding RNA, 408 nt
Filed under: soil metagenome
Description: partial contains 5.8S ribosomal RNA, internal transcribed spacer 2, and large subunit ribosomal RNA
Rfam family: 5.8S ribosomal RNA (bases 1-120)
Source: RNAcentral